Molecule: ribosomal RNA, 494 nt
Filed under: uncultured bacterium
Lineage: Bacteria
Description: partial 16S ribosomal RNA
Rfam family: Bacterial small subunit ribosomal RNA
Source: RNAcentral
GACGAACGCUGGCGGCGUGCUUAACACAUGCAAGUCGAACGGAAAGGCCUGCUUUCCCUUGUGGAUUGCGGGUACUCGAGUGGCGAACGGGUGAGUAACACGUGAGUGAUCUGCCCCCAACUUGGGUAUAAGCCUGGGAAACUGGGUCUAAUUCCCGAUAGGACUGCAGGGUGGUGCCUGUGGUGGAAAACGAUUUUCUAGUGGUUGGGGAUGAGCUCGCGGCCUAUCAGCUUGUUGGUGGGGUAAUGGCCUACCAAGGCGGCGACGGGUAGCCGGCCUGGGAGGGUGGACGGCCACAUUGGGACUGAGAUACGGCCCAGACUCCUACGGGGGGCAGCCGUGGGGAAUAUUGCACAAUGGGCGGAAGCCUGAUGCAGCGACGCCGCGUGGGGGAUGACGGCCUUCGGGUUGUAAACUCCUUUCGACCGCGAGGAAGCCACCUGGUUGGAAGGGUGGUGACGGUAGUGGUAGAAGAAGCACCGGCUAACUACGUG